Molecule: long non-coding RNA, 2011 nt
Organism: Megalops cyprinoides (Indo-Pacific tarpon)
Lineage: Eukaryota; Metazoa; Chordata; Actinopteri; Elopiformes; Megalopidae
Exons: 3
Source: RefSeq, a predicted model, not a curated record
GUCAGAUGAAUGCACAUUGCCGUAUAAACAAACAGGUGAACAUGGCUUUGAACAAGAAGGGGAAAGGAUGGAGGAGGAUGGAGCAGGAACCUGCACAGACCCAAUUAGAGGCGGCGGCCCCUGUCCACAAAGAAUCUCACAUGGCUGAUGACGGGAUGCUGACACUGUCAUACAAUUCCUCAUGAGAGAAAACAGGCAAUGAGCUCUGCACCAUGGAUAAAACAUGCUCCAACUGCUGCACAUGGGACACUGCUCUCAUUGUUGCCCCGUCAUCCCAGCGACGAUGAGCAUGAAGCACAGCAGACACCUCCUACCAGCGGCAUUCACCACACCCCCACAGACCUCAGUGGAACUCAGGGCAGAUGACGGUAAACCUCUCCCCCUCACAUCAGGCUGCUCACAGGAAAGACGGAACAUGUCCUGCACCCCAGACACCUGCACACCUCUUGCCUCUUCCAGCAGUACACAGUAGCGUGUUCUUGUCAGUCUGUACAUGAUCCUGGGCUUAACAAAAGGCUCUCUAUUCAAUGCAUCAGCCACAGUGUUCUUGGGUCCUGGAAUGUACUGAAUUUCAAAAUCAAAAGGGGCUAAUUUCGCUAUCCACCUCUGUUCGCAAGCAUCCAAUUUUGGUUUGGUCAGGAUAUACUUAAGCAGAUUUUUGUCAGUCCACACCGUAAACUCAUGCCCUCGCAGCCAAUGACUGAAGUUAUCAUGAAUGACCCAUUUCAUUACGAGGAACUCAAGCCUGUGAGCCAGAUAUUUAAAUUGAGCAUGGUUCAGAGAUUUACUUGCAAAAGCAAUGGGUCUAGCAGUGGAAUGGCCAUCCUGCACCUGAGAAAGUACCGCCCCUAAUCCACUGAUAGAUGCAUCAACGGAAAGAGUGAAAGGCUCAGAAAAGUCAGGGUGAGCCAGCAGUCUUCAGUGCCUCAAAAGCUUGCUUACACUCAGCAGUCCAGUCUGCAGAGGUAAGCUUGCGUGAUGGAGAAGGUCUCUUUUUGCUUUCAGUUCCCUGUGGUUUCCUCCCACCAGUGGUAAGCUGAAAAAGUGGUUUGGCUAUCAUAGAGCAAUUCUCAAUAAAAUGUUGGUAAUACACUACCAUGUCAAGGAAUGAACGUAUCUUCUAAGCAGAUGGGGUAACAUUGUCAGACCCCACAAUGUCACAGCGACUCAGCUACGUUGCUAAUAGCUAGCACCUUAUCAGGGUCUGUAGCUAUGCCCUCUUGGGAAAUAAUGUGACCUAAAAACUUAACAGAUUUCCUCAAAAAUGUACAUUUAGAUGGAGACACCUUCAGGUUAUGUGCUUGGAGACGCUGGAAAACCAUUUCAAGCCUCCUCCAUUUUUCCAAAAACCAGUAAAUCGUCCAAAUAAUGAAGUAAUAAAGUAAUGACUGAAAAUUCUGAUUACCAAAAAUAGUGAGCAUCAUCCUCAUGAAAGUAGCUGGCCUGUUGCAAAGUCCCUGAGGCAUGUGAUUAUAUUCAUGUAGACCCAGGCGUGAGGAGAAAGUGGUGUAUUUCUUAUCAUCUUCAUGCAAUGGUACUGUUACGUCCUAGGACGUAUUCGUGUGUGUGUCUCUCUCUCUCUCUCUCCCCCUCUUGCUCCCCGUCCAGGUUACAGCUUGAUCGGCAGAGCGCGGCGAUUGGCUGGAAGACGGGCGGGGAAAUUUGAAAAGCGGCAUCUGGGCAGGACCAGGACCCCCUCCUCCCCCGUGUAGCUCACUGUUAGAGAAUGUGUGCGGGAGUGUGAAUGCAGGCGUGUAAAUAUUGUAAAGUUUAUGUAUGUUACCUUAUUCUCUGUGUCAGCCUGAACGUUCGUAGGGGGUGAGUGCCAUUUUUUUUGACUGUCUUCUCCUGUUUUUCGUUAGUUAGGGAAGUUGUUUUGUAUUUCGUUUUGUUGAUUUCUUUUUGGUUGGUUAGCUAGCUUCCCUAUUCCCCAGUUAGUUGUGUUUUGGUUAUUUUGGCCUGGCUCACCCCUGAAGUAUUUUUCGUUCAGGAACAAAAAAAUAAAUUAAAA